Pseudomonas sp. BAY1663 is the source of this 148-nucleotide non-coding RNA. NCBI's taxonomy places the organism in Bacteria, Pseudomonadati, Pseudomonadota, Gammaproteobacteria, Pseudomonadales, Pseudomonadaceae. The record is from Rfam.
CCGACUGUUCCACCACUCGUUCCCUACCCAGACAGGCGUGGCCGGUAACAGCCGGGUCUGAAGCUCUGGGACAAUGUUACCGCCGAUAUUUCGGUAGGUCGAACCGCGAGGCCAGACUGAAUCUGCCAGCAUCAAGGCGGAGAUUAGC